AUUUGAAUAGCUUAAAAUGUAAGAGUGUAAUAUUGAAGAUAUUAAGGUAGUAAAAUUACUUUCAAAUG
This 68-nucleotide transfer RNA is filed under the name Phryganogryllacris superangulata. RNAcentral's name for it is "tRNA-Phe". Lineage: Eukaryota; Metazoa; Arthropoda; Insecta; Orthoptera; Gryllacrididae. The record is from RNAcentral.